This 253-nucleotide ribosomal RNA is filed under the name uncultured bacterium. RNAcentral's name for it is "partial 16S ribosomal RNA". It matches the Rfam family "Bacterial small subunit ribosomal RNA", at positions 524 to 776 of the family's 1533-position model. The record is from RNAcentral.
GACAGAGGGGGCAAGCGUUGCUCGGAAUUACUGGGCGUAAAGCGUGCGCAGGCGGCUUUGCAAGACAGAUGUGAAAUCCCCGGGCUUAACCUGGGAACUGCAUUUGUGACUGCAUGGCUAGAGUGCGGCAGAGGGGGAUGGAAUUCCGCGUGUAGCAGUGAAAUGCGUAGAUAUGCGGAGGAACACCGAUGGCGAAGGCAAUCCCCUGGGCCUGCACUGACGCUCAUGCACGAAAGCGUGGGGAGCAAACAGG